CUCCUAUUAGUUCAACAGAAAAAAAGGACAUUAACAAGAAUGUAUGCUUUUUUCGGAGGCAGAUUGUUAGCUUAAAUGAAUGGUGACCCCAUUUUUUUAUUCAAUUUUUCUAUUAAGUAUAUGAUAAAGUUCAUUUAUAAAAAAAAAUAUAGCGAAAUCCUAUAUUAGAUUAAAAAAAAAUGAUUUAUACCCGCGAGCCCC
This 201-nucleotide long non-coding RNA is filed under the name Mytilus galloprovincialis (Mediterranean mussel). Lineage: Eukaryota; Metazoa; Mollusca; Bivalvia; Mytilida; Mytilidae. The record is from RNAcentral.